This 253-nucleotide ribosomal RNA is filed under the name uncultured bacterium. RNAcentral describes it as "partial 16S ribosomal RNA". It matches the Rfam family "Bacterial small subunit ribosomal RNA", at positions 524 to 776 of the family's 1533-position model. The record is from RNAcentral.
UACUUAGGGUGCGAGCGUUGUCCGGAAUUAUUGGGCGUAAAGAGCUCGUAGGCGGCUUGUCGCGUCGGAUGUGAAAGCCCGGGGCUUAACCCCGGGUCUGCAUUCGAUACGGGCAGGCUAGAGUGUGGUAGGGGAGAUCGGAAUUCCUGGUGUAGCGGUGAAAUGCGCAGAUAUCAGGAGGAACACCGGUGGCGAAGGCGGAUCUCUGGGCCAUUACUGACGCUGAGACACGAAAGCGUGGGUAGCAAACAGG